This 253-nucleotide ribosomal RNA is filed under the name uncultured bacterium. Its description in RNAcentral is "partial 16S ribosomal RNA". It matches the Rfam family "Bacterial small subunit ribosomal RNA", at positions 524 to 776 of the family's 1533-position model. The record is from RNAcentral.
UACGAAGGGGGCUAGCGUUGCUCGGAAUCACUGGGCGUAAAGCGCACGUAGGCGGCUUUCUAAGUCAGGGGUGAAAUCCUGGAGCUCAACUCCAGAACUGCCUUUGAUACUGGAGAGCUUGAGUCCGGGAGAGGUGAGUGGAACUCCGAGUGUAGAGGUGAAAUUCGUAGAUAUUCGGAAGAACACCAGUGGCGAAGGCGGCUCACUGGUCCGGUACUGACGCUGAGGUGCGAAAGCGUGGGGAGCAAACAGG